Long non-coding RNA from Oncorhynchus tshawytscha (Chinook salmon), 1086 nucleotides. RefSeq lists it as uncharacterized. The transcript is spliced from 3 exons. The record is from RefSeq and is a predicted model, not a curated record. NCBI's taxonomy places the organism in Eukaryota, Metazoa, Chordata, Actinopteri, Salmoniformes, Salmonidae.
UGCUCUCUCGUUAGGACGCUGUUGUUUAGAAGAGCUAGCUAACUAUAGGGUGACCAGACGUCCCCGUUUUUGGUGGCCUGUCCCCGGAAAUGUCCCCGUUUUUAACUGUGCGUUAAAAACAGACCGCAAAGUGAAAUAUUUUAUUUGGCAAGAAAGACCGGGCAGCAGAGCCUACGGGUUGAUGUCUCAAUCGCGUUGUGCUUGUUUAGGCCAACAGAGGGGGCUGCUCGCUAUAUAGCAACUUCAUUCACUCUUCUUCUACCAACUACUUGCUCGCGAUAGUUUUAGAGAAAACUGCUGUGGAAAACUCGGCCAGAAGCUAGCAAGUAUCAAGUGAAUCCACAACAUCACCACAAACGUCUUUUCAAGCCAGAAAUGUUCAUGGAUAACAGUAGCCGUGGAGAGGAAGACUGGAUAGGAAGAGGAGUGAAGGAGUCAGGAGGAAAGAUUGGAGAGGAAGAAGGAAAAAUUAAUGGAGUAAAAAGAGUGAAGCAAGGAGAGUGUAGAAGAGUGAGGUGGAAAGGUGGAGAAGGAAAGGAAGGAAGAGAGUGAAGAAAAGAGGAAUAAAAAGUUGAGUAAGAAGAGUGACACAAGGAGAGUGAAGAGCAGACAGAGGAGAUACAAUGACUCUUUCCAAGAAACGGAAAUGCACUCUUUAUGAAAAAGAGAAUUUCCAUUUAUAAACUCAGGUCAAGACAAUCGAAUGGUUCACUGCACCCUUUGUAAUUCCUCUCUUUCAAUUGGCAGCCGGAGAAGAACGGCAGUGGUAGAACAUCAGCAGACGAAAAAGCAUAAAGCCUCUGAGGGCCUGUGUUAGUAUGCCCUCUGGCUGAGACGCAAAGAAAGUUCAAGGAGAGGGGCUACAAGAAUGAUCAGAUUAAUAUAGCCAUUGAGAAAAUUCGAAACAAAACGAGACAUGACCUUUUAAGGUCCUUGUGGUAAAAAAUAAUGUAGGUAAAACAAAGCACGAAUUAAAAAUACGUAUCUCAGAGCAUCGUAGCACCAUUAAUUGUAAAACUUUACUUAUCCAGUUGCGGCCCACUUCUUGGAGGCAGGCCACUCGAUUUAGUCUCUGCGUUAUAUUGG